Molecule: ribosomal RNA, 255 nt
Filed under: uncultured bacterium
Lineage: Bacteria
Description: partial 16S ribosomal RNA
Rfam family: Bacterial small subunit ribosomal RNA
Source: RNAcentral
UACGUAGGGUGCAAGCGUUAAUCGGAAUUACUGGGCGUAAAGCGUGCGCAGGCGGUUGUGUAAGACAGAUGUGAAAAUCCCCGGGCUCAACCUGGGAACUGCAUUUGUGACUGCACAGCUGGAGUGCGGCAGAGGGGGAUGGAAUUCCGCGUGUAGCAGUGAAAUGCGUAGAUAUGCGGAGGAACACCGAUGGCGAAGGCAAUCCCCCUGGGUCAAGACUGACGCUCAUGCACGAAAGCGUGGGGAGCAAACAGG